RNAcentral lists this ribosomal RNA (440 nucleotides) under uncultured bacterium. RNAcentral describes it as "partial 16S ribosomal RNA". It matches the Rfam family "Bacterial small subunit ribosomal RNA", at positions 338 to 795 of the family's 1533-position model. The record is from RNAcentral.
CCUACGGGAGGCAGCAGUAGGGAAUAUUGCACAAUGGGGGAAACCCUGAUGCAGCGACGCCGCGUGAGUGAGGAAGUCUUUCGGUAUGUAAAGCUCUAUCAGCAGGGAAGAAAAUCACGAUACCUGACUGAGACCCCCCGGCUAACUCCGUGCCAGCAGCCGCGGUAAUACGUAGGGCGCAAGCGUUAUCCGGAUUUACUGGGGGUAAAGGGAGCGUAGACGGCUAAUCAAGUCAGAAGUGAAACCCCAGGGCUCAACCUUGGGAGUGCUUUUGAAACUGAGGAGCUAGAGAGCAGGAGAGGGAAGCGGAAUUCCUAGUGUAGCGGUGAAAUGCGUAGAUAUUAGGAGGAACACCAGUGGCGAAGGCGGCUGACUGGACUGUAACUGACGUUGAGGCACGAAAGCGUGGGGAGCAAACAGGAUUAGAUACCCCAGUAGUC